UCAGACGAUGCGUCAUGCAUAUCAAUAAGCGGAGGAAAAGAAACUAACAAGGAUUCCCCUAGUAACGGCGAGUGAAGCGGGAAGAGCUCAAAUUUGAAAUCUUAAAGGGUUUCCCUUUACGAAUUGUAGUUUAAAGAAGUGUUUUCUGUUGAGGUUUUGGUAAAAGUUCUUUGGAAUAGGACAUCAUAGAGGGUGAGAAUCCCGUAUUUGACCUUUACUUUCAACUUUGUGAUACACUUUCAAAGAGUCGGAUUGUUUGGGAAUGCAGUCCAAAAUGGGUGGUAAAUUUCAUCUAAAGCUAAAUAUUGGCGAGAGACCGAUAGCGAACAAGUACCGUGAGGGAAAGAUGAAAAGAACUUUGAAAAGAGAGUUAAACAGUACGUGAAAUUGUCAAAAGGGAAGCGUUUGACACCAGUGUUGUUUUUCUGAAAAUCAAUUAAAGAACUGUUUAUGCUAAGUUGUUUAGACUUUAUCAGCUAUCUGCUUAGUUUUGAGCUUUUCUUUAAUGCACUUUUCAGUUAACAAGUCAACAUCAAUUUCUUUUGCUGUAAAAAAGCUUGAGGAAGGUGGCUUGAGAUUCGUCUUAAGUGUUUAUAGCCUCUUGCCUAUGCAGUCGGAGAGAUUGAGGUCUGCAGCGUAGAUCCUUCGGGGCUAAAUGCAUUUGUGCUAAGUUAUAGCAUUUUAUAGACAACUUGUUGACUAUGAUUUGUCUUGUAGCUUACUCGCUUAUGUUAUUUUACCUACGCUUAGGAUGUUGACACACGCGCGUGCUCG
Molecule: ribosomal RNA, 774 nt
Filed under: uncultured Neocallimastigales
Lineage: Eukaryota; Fungi; Neocallimastigomycota; Neocallimastigomycetes; Neocallimastigales
Description: partial large subunit ribosomal RNA
Rfam family: Eukaryotic large subunit ribosomal RNA
Source: RNAcentral